This 253-nucleotide ribosomal RNA is filed under the name uncultured bacterium. RNAcentral describes it as "partial 16S ribosomal RNA". It matches the Rfam family "Bacterial small subunit ribosomal RNA", at positions 524 to 776 of the family's 1533-position model. The record is from RNAcentral.
UACGGGGGGGGCAAGCGUUGUUCGGAAUUACUGGGCGUAAAGGGCUCGUAGGCGGCCAACUAAGUCGGAUGUGAAAUCCCCAGGCUUAACCUGGGAACUGCAUCCGAUACUGGAUGGCUUGAAUCCGGGAGAGGGAUGCAGAAUUCCAGGUGUAGCGGUGAAAUGCGUAGAUAUCUGGAGGAAUACCGGUGGCGAAGGCGGCAUCCUGGGCCAAUACUGACGCUCAUGCACGAAAGCGUGGGGAUCAAACAGG